Molecule: non-coding RNA, 72 nt
Organism: Tribolium madens (black flour beetle)
Lineage: Eukaryota; Metazoa; Arthropoda; Insecta; Coleoptera; Tenebrionidae
Source: the annotation of a RefSeq genome assembly
GGCUCGUUAGCUCAGUUGGUUAGAGCGCCGAACUGCAAACGGAGGACGCAGGUUCGAAUCCUGCACGAGCCC